The sequence is a ribosomal RNA, 777 nucleotides long. It matches the Rfam family "Bacterial large subunit ribosomal RNA", at positions 2149 to 2925 of the family's 2925-position model. The record is from Rfam.
GGGAGGCUUGGAAAGUGGAACGCAAGUUUCGCUGGAGCCGUCCUUGGGAUACCACCCUUGCAGUAUUGAGGUUCUAACCAUGUACCGUGAAACCGGUACUGGGACACUGUCUGACGGGCAGUUUGACUGGGGCGGUCGCCUCCUAAAGAGUAACGGAGGCGCCCAAAGGUUCCCUCAGCACGGUCGGAAAUCGUGCGAAGAGUGCAAAGGCAUAAGGGAGCUUGAUUGCGAGACAUACAGGUCGAGCAAGGACGAAAGUCGGGCUUAGUGAUCCGGUGGUUCCGAGUGGAAGGGCCAUCGCUCAACGGAUAAAAGCUACCCCGGGGAUAACAGGCUUAUCUCCCCCAAGAGUCCACAUCGACGGGGAGGUUUGGCACCUCGAUGUCGGCUCGUCUCAUCCUGGGGCUGGAGUAGGUCCCAAGGGUUGGGCUGUUCGCCCAUUAAAGAGGCACGCGAGCUGGGUUCAGAACGUCGUGAGACAGUUCGGUCCCUAUCCGUCGCAGGCGUAGGAAAUUUGAGAGGAGCUGUCCUUAGUACGAGAGGACCGGGAUGGACGCACCUCUGGUGCACCAGUUGUCACGCCAGUGGCACAGCUGGGUAGCUAUGUGCGGAAUGGAUAAGCGCUGAAGGCAUCUAAGCGCGAAGCCAACCUCAAGAUAAGAUUUCCCACUUCAUAGAAGGUAAGAUCCCAGAAAGACUAUCUGGUUGAUAGGCCCAGGGUGUAAGUGCAGCAAUGCAUUCAGCUGAUGGGUACUAAUAGAUCGAGGACUUGACCAA